Molecule: long non-coding RNA, 2351 nt
Organism: Aedes albopictus (Asian tiger mosquito)
Lineage: Eukaryota; Metazoa; Arthropoda; Insecta; Diptera; Culicidae
Exons: 2
Source: RefSeq, a predicted model, not a curated record
CGGUUUACCCCAGAGAAGUAUCUAAGCCUUAAGCGCUAGACUUUUCCUUCAAAUAAGGUUGGGAAGGGCCUAGUACCGCGUUAGUUUAGGGGGGCGGCCUAUGUUCCGUCUUCAGAACCUUAUAGAAUUCAAAGUCGGUUGCGAUGGUAGUCAGAAAUUUCGGAUUGAGGGACAACUUCACCGUAGCGUUUCCAAACCAAAACUUCUGUAUUUCAAGCGGCGCAGGCCGCUUUUAUAGAGCAUCUGGGUCUGGCUACCCACACUUACUUCUAAAGACAAAAAGAGAUGCCAGAAUUCUAAUUAUCUAACUUAAAAUAAUAUUUUCCCUCCCGCACUAUUUGACUUCCAUAAGUACGGUCGAAUUUUACGACUUUCCACACCCAGAGCCUGAUCGAGUCAUACCCGAUAGAUGUACGCCGGUUCUAAAUGAUCAACCUACGGUGCAUCGAUCCUAGCGCUAUCAGACCUCUCUCACCACAUGACGGUUGCGCAUUCUGUUCCCAAAGUCUUUUUUGGGAAUUUUAUUACCCUGCCGGCGGUCGUCCCUUGGCCCUUUUCUGGUUAUCGCUGCCGGUUCCGUGGAACCUAGGCAAGACGAGGUUGAUGGAUUGUUUCUAUAUUGAUCAGCUACCUACUGGUAGGCUGACUCGCCACCUAAAGGGUUCUUGCGGCAAUGUCGUGGGAAUCUUCUCGUAUCGUCCUUUAGAGCUACUUUCGCAGGAGUCGAAUUUUAACCAACGGGGAUUUCGGUACUUACGACAGUUGAGUUAAGCUGAUUUCUUCCGCAGGGGUCGCGUUUUAACCUGCGUGGAUUCCGUGGUUCUUACGACCGUUGGGUUGAGCUUUUUUUUUUAAUCGUUAAAUCGUUUUUAAUCGGUGCACUUUGAUUCUUAUCUGACUGAUCAGUCUUUUCUACUUCGCACUGCACAAAUGUCUUUAGGGCUGUUUCGGGAUUUUUAAGUCGAUGAAUUGGGAGACGUGCUGAACGAACACCCUUUCUCUAGGGGUGUCCUUCCACAGCGUAACUUCAAAUCCCUUCGAUUCACACACUUGCCCUUUCUUCUGUGGUGCUCUUUUCCACCUUCUGUAUUCUUCAGUAUGUCGUAAUUCUUUCAUCUGAAUGUCGAUUUCCUGGAAGUAAUCGACGAGUUCUUCGAUCUCUUUGUCGAGAUCACUCAUUGUCUUCUAUGACGUUCACUAGCUAGGUUGAUCUUAAGGCGUCAACCACGCUCUCUCUUGAAUUCACAACUGACCGCGCGAUUGUUGUGAAUCCUCACUCGGGGCACCAUGUAACGGGCGCACGACCGUUUAAGGUCCGCGGGACUCGCGCGGUGGUCCCGGGAUCCAAUCGUGUCCAGUCACAAUACUUACUGCGUACCGGCGGUGUUGUACACGCUUCCUUAUUCUCAUCAGGGCAGUAAGCAACUCUUUGUAUACUUGAUCUGGUCUUCCGAAGUGUUCCUCGAGUCUAGUCAGAAUAUCCGGUACGUUGUUGGAGUCCAUCAUAAGCUAUUGUACACUUUUAGCGGCGGCUCCGUACAGUACCUGCUGCGAUCUGUUAAGGUUUUCGACGUUAUUGAAGGCUCCUUCUUGAGUUGUUUGAAUGAAGGCAGUUCUGAAGUUCGGCCAUUCCUUAGCCGGCCCGCCGAAUUUCGGUAAUCGCAUUAGCGCUUGCCGCUUCAGGUAAAUAGUCCAAUCUUCGUGAUAAGCACUUUCGUUUUUGAUCUUGAUUCCUUGUAGUGCCUUGGUGAUUUCGCGUACAGCUCUCUGUUAACCGCUUAUCAUUCGUUCGAAAAAAGCUUCUGUGGGGUUGGUGGCGACUGCCUUGGCAGCUUGGUUCAGUCGUUUAAUCUCGUUAUCAAUGAGUUUGCAUUUUACGCAAAGAAAUAUUUCCUCGGGCGUUGGUUUUUUGAUGACCUUCGCGCAAGAUGGGUGAAACCAUCUAUCGCACUCUGAGCAUUCCACCAUGUAUGUAUCCUUGUCGUCCGGAUCACUACAUACGCGGCAGUGCCCAUUCUGGUUAUCCACGAACUUACUCAUUUCGAUUUCGUGGUCUUGUUGCUUACCGCUCAUUGAUUUGUUGCGCCCUUGCAGCAAUGUCGUGGGAAUCUUCUCGUAUCGUCCUUUAGAGCUACUUUCGCAGGAGUCGAAUUUUAACCUGCGUGGAUUCCGUGGUUCUUACUCUUUUUUAUCGUUAGCAUUUUGGUUCUUAUCUGACUGAUCAGUCUUUACUACUUCGCACUGCACAAAUGUCUUUAGGGCUGUUUCGAAAUUUUUAAGUCGAUGAAUUUGGAGACGUGCUGAACGAACACCCUUUCUUUAGGGGUGUCCUUCCACUUAGGGUCCAAAAG